This 487-nucleotide long non-coding RNA is filed under the name Phoenix dactylifera (date palm). RNAcentral's name for it is "long non-coding RNA (PDAC_LNC006626)". Lineage: Eukaryota; Viridiplantae; Streptophyta; Magnoliopsida; Arecales; Arecaceae. The record is from RNAcentral.
GAGUAAUAUAAAUCGAAUGAACUCAUACACUUUCUACACAUUCAGUUAAUCUGUAUUGCAACAUAUUAGAGAUGUAGAAAAAUAGGCAAACUUGAAAAUACAAAAUCUAGAUAUUAAGAUAUUCUUGUGGUCCCCCAAAGAAACACUAUCAUGGAGAAAUAUUGCUAGGAAUGAGCUUGGAUGUGCAAUUUAAGAGAAAUAUAGAGGCAUUAAGUCCAUCAUCCCAAUACCAAAAUAGUGUAGAGGCAUUUACCAUGAGCAAUGCAUGGACUCAACUAUUUGAAAAUACAUUCUCUCCUCAGACUCAUUUUAUCCAUGAGUUUAUGAAGAGGGUGAUUAAAAGUUCUUCUAGAAAUAUGAAAGUUGGGCAUGUUAGGAUGUCUGCCACCCCGAUCAGAGUGUAUAUAUAUGCUUUAAUUUUUUUAACCAAUGCAUCAAAUAAGUUACAAUUUGCAAAGUUGCAGAAAAAUGAGGUAUAGAAUGAUGA